Molecule: non-coding RNA, 86 nt
Filed under: Olea europaea subsp. europaea
Lineage: Eukaryota; Viridiplantae; Streptophyta; Magnoliopsida; Lamiales; Oleaceae
Source: RNAcentral
AGGAGCCAUAUGAGGUGAAAAUCUCAUGUACGGUUCUGUGGGUCUUUGGAAUGGCUUUUUCUUUUUAUUUAUUAUUUAUCGUGAAU